CAGGGCCUCUGGAGCGGCGCGGGUAGCCCUGCGCCUGGUCUGCCAAGCCACGGCAGAGGCCAUAACUGGGCAGUUGGCUCCAUCUGGAGCUUCCCGGUGCAGGUAGAGAACGAGUGGCCCUGUCCUCUUGCCACCCCAGCCCUUUGUUCCCCCUCUGUGUUUGUGGGGCUAGUUUUAGCCUGGGUCCGACCUGCAGCUGCACACCAGGAACCAGGGGAAGAUAGUGUGGGAUCGUCUGCUGGUCUCCUUUAGCUACGGAGACGGAGGAGACAUCGGGCCCUCUGGGUUGGGAAAAGGAGCAGGGGGAGAAGAGAAGACUGCUUCUGGGCAACAGCCAGUGAAGAGAAGGGUAGCGACAUGAGGAUGAUGAGCUGACAAAUCCAUGGCACCGGCAGCCGGGGAGGACCCAGGRCAGAGCGCUCGCGACAGCGCCCACCUCUCCCUCUCGCAGAUGCUGCUCCCAGGUGGAAGAAACUGUGUCUAGAGCCACAAACCCACCCCCCCUUUCAUGGUGCUGCUCAACUCAUGGACGUUUAUGCUUGUGCACACACUCCACAUCAGGAAAUUGCAGUUGGAGGACCUUGGAUGAGCAGCCUUCCUCAUCUGUGGCUCUGGAAGAACCUGCAAUGUGAAAGGACUUAAACUAAUUGAAUCCUCAUUUCUGUGAGGACCCUCAGAGGAGGGACCUGCUGCCAGGCCCCUUGAGUUAAGGAGAGACAGGGAUGUGCUACGCCAACUAUUCCAUUUCUCACCAGUGCAGGAGCUCUUCCAGGGGUGGUUCCUCCUACGCUUGUUGUGUCUUGGGGAGAUUGUUAAAAUUCCUAAUUGAGGUCCUGUCAGGAUGUUAUGCAUUAUAAUCUGCCUAGAUUUUCUCAGUUUCACCCCAUUAUUUGUUAGUCUUCACUGUCAUACGUAAUUUUUCUCCAUUUCCUUGUUUAUGGAUAUCCUCAAAUGAAAUAUCUGCAGGUUGUUAUUUCUCGUUUUACCCUUUUGGUGAAAUGAUACUGAUCUGAUUUUUCAAAACUUGAAGUU
This 1032-nucleotide long non-coding RNA is filed under the name Dromaius novaehollandiae (emu). RNAcentral's name for it is "lncRNA (ENSDNVG00000009482.1)". The record is from RNAcentral. Lineage: Eukaryota; Metazoa; Chordata; Aves; Casuariiformes; Dromaiidae.